CCUACGGGCGGCAGCAGUGGGGAAUAUUGGACAAUGGGGGGAACCCUGAUCCAGCCAUGCCGCGUGUGUGAAGAAGGCCCUCGGGUUGUAAAGCACUUUCAGUGAGGAAGAACGCCUGGUGGUUAAUACCCAUCAGGAAAGACAUCACUCACAGAAGAAGCACCGGCUAACUCCGUGCCAGCAGCCGCGGUAAUACGGAGGGUGCGAGCGUUAAUCGGAAUUACUGGGCGUAAAGCGCGCGUAGGUGGCUUGAUAAGCCGGUUGUGAAAGCCCCGGGCUCAACCUGGGAACGGCAUCCGGAACUGUCAAGCUAGAGUGCAGGAGAGGAAGGUAGAAUUCCCGGUGUAGCGGUGAAAUGCGUAGAGAUAGGGAGGAAUACCAGUGGCGAAGGCGGCCUUCUGGACUGACACUGACACUGAGGUGCGAAAGCGUGGGUAGCAAACAGGAUUAGAUACCCUUGUAGUC
Molecule: ribosomal RNA, 465 nt
Filed under: Vreelandella stevensii
Lineage: Bacteria; Pseudomonadati; Pseudomonadota; Gammaproteobacteria; Oceanospirillales; Halomonadaceae
Description: partial 16S ribosomal RNA
Rfam family: Bacterial small subunit ribosomal RNA
Source: RNAcentral